UGUGUGCUUCAACCGGGGCCCCCGGAGGGGUAAUUAAUAAGAAAGAUUGAAAUUGCUUUUCAUUCGACUUCCACACUGGAAUGCGAGCCAGCUGGCGAAGAAGUCAGACCAAGCCAGUUUAGAGAUUUCCAGUCGGUAAAUCCUGAGACUAGUUUACUUCAGACUUUUCCGGCUAGUCUAGGGCCCUAGACCUGGCGGAGAACU
This 204-nucleotide long non-coding RNA is filed under the name Phoenix dactylifera (date palm). RNAcentral describes it as "long non-coding RNA (PDAC_LNC022362)". The record is from RNAcentral. Lineage: Eukaryota; Viridiplantae; Streptophyta; Magnoliopsida; Arecales; Arecaceae.